RNAcentral lists this ribosomal RNA (777 nucleotides) under uncultured Neocallimastigales. Its description in RNAcentral is "partial large subunit ribosomal RNA". It matches the Rfam family "Eukaryotic large subunit ribosomal RNA", at positions 24 to 632 of the family's 3401-position model. The record is from RNAcentral. Lineage: Eukaryota; Fungi; Neocallimastigomycota; Neocallimastigomycetes; Neocallimastigales.
UACGACUACAUAUCAGGCAUAUCAAUAAGCGGAGGAAAAGAAACUAACAAGGAUUCCCCUAGUAACGGCGAGUGAAGCGGGAAGAGCUCAAAUUUGAAAUCUUAAAGGGUUUCCCUUUACGAAUUGUAGUUUAAAGAAGUGUUUUCUGUUGGAGUUUCGGUAAAAGUUCUUUGGAAUAGGACAUCAUAGAGGGUGAGAAUCCCGUAUUUGACCGUUACUUUCCAGCUGUGUGAUACACUUUCAAAGAGUCGGGAUUGUUUGGGAAUGCAGUCCAAGAUGAGGUGGUAAAUUUCAUCUAAAGCUAAAUAUUGGCGAGAGACCGAUAGCGAACAAGUACCGUGAGGGAAAGAUGAAAAGAACUUUGAAAAGAGAGUUAAACAGUACGUGAAAUUGUCAAAAGGGAAGCGUUUGACACCAGUGUUGUUUAGUUGAAAAUCAAUUCAAUAGUUUUUGAUUCUAAGUAGUAUUGACUUCAUCAGCUUGCUGCUUUCUUCUCAGAAAUUAUUGAAUGCACUUUUCAGUUAACAAGUCAACAUCAAUUUCUUUUGUUGUAAAAGGGUAAGAGGAAGGUGGCUUGCGCUUCGGCUCAAGUGUUUAUAGCCUUUUAUCUCUGCAAUCGGAGAGAUUGAGGUCUGCAGCGUAGAUCCUUCGGGGUUAGAUACAUUGGUGCUAAGCUAUAGCCUUGUAUAGACAACUUGUUGACUAUGCUCAGUCAUGUAGCUUACUCGCUGAUGCUAUUUUACCUACGCUUAGGAUGUUGAUCUACAGAGCGAGAGU